RNAcentral lists this ribosomal RNA (274 nucleotides) under uncultured prokaryote. RNAcentral describes it as "partial 16S ribosomal RNA". It matches the Rfam family "Bacterial small subunit ribosomal RNA", at positions 524 to 792 of the family's 1533-position model. The record is from RNAcentral.
UACGUAGGUGGCGAGCGUUUAUCCGGGAUUUAACUGGGCGUAAAGCGCGGUGUUAGGCGGUUUCGUAAGUCGGAUGUGAAAGCUCCUGGCUCAACUGGGAGAGGCCAUUCGAUACUGCGGGACUUGAGGUCGGGAGAGGGACGUGGAAUUCCCGGUGUAGUGGUGGAAUGCGUAGAUAUCGGGAGGAACACCAGUGGCGAAGGCGGCGUCCUGGCCCGCACCUGACGCUAAGACGCGAAAGCGUGGGUAGCGAACGGGAUUAGAUACCCCCGUA